UCAAAUUUCAGAAAAGAGUUGUUUCAGUUUCGAGUGCAAACAAGAAUGAAGGGAGAUUGGUUGGAAUUGAAGUUGGAGAAGGAAAUAGGAGACGCCAUUUCCCGAACCCGAUUCGCGCCCCACUCUAACACCCUCCUCAUCUCUUCUUGGGACUCCAGUCUUCGCCUCUUCGACGUCGACGCCUCUCUCCUCAGACUCCAAGCUCCCUCGCAAGCUCCCCUCCUCGAUUGCUGCUUCCAGGACGACGCUGUCGCCUUCGCCGCCGCCUCUGAUGGACUAAUCCGAAGGUAUGACUUGCAUUCAGGACUUGUUGAUACACUGGGUAGUCACGAUGAUAUGGCAACAUGUAUUGGAUAUUCCAAUGAAACAUGUCAGUUGGUCACAUCCGGAUUUGACAAAAAGUUACUGUUAUGGGACAUGCAUAUGAAGAAGACUUCUUUAUGUUUGAGAAGUCUAGAUGCAGAGGUGGACUCCAUGUCUGUCUCUGGAUUUAAUGUUACCGUAGCCAUUGGAGCAUCAAUGCUUGUUUAUGAUUUACGUUACUUUGACCAACCAGUUGAGUCAAAAGAGGCAUUCAAUGGAACACACUUAAGAUGUGUCAGUUCAAUUCCAGAUGCAGAAGGAUUCGCAGUUGGGUCUGUAGACGGACGAGUAUCACUGCAGAUUUCCAAUCCAUUCAGUUCAAACGACAUUAGAUAUAUAUUCCGGUGUCAUCCAAAAUCGAAGGAUGGACGGCAUUAUUUGGUAUCAGUGAACGACAUUGCAUUCAGUCCACUUGUAUCUGGUGCCUUUGCCACUGGUGACAAUGAAGGUUAUGUUACCAUAUGGGAUGCUGGAAGUAGGAGAAGACUAGUUGAGUUGCCCAGGUAUCCAAAUAGUGUUGCAUCCUUAUCAUACAACCACACAGGUCAGCUUCUGGCUGUAGCAUCAAGCCAUACUUACCAAGAAGCAAAGGAAAUGUGAGUUGGUUGUGGGAUCAAAAUUACCUCAAAAAGGUCGAGUAGUUAUCCCCAAUUAAAAGAAACGAGGAAAAAAAAUGUUACAAUGUUCUUCUCUAGUAGUGUGUGUCUAUAAAAGGAAAACCAGACGCAUCACACAUUAUGAUGCGUGUUAUUAACCAUAACCAUGUCAGACGAGGAACACCACUUCGAGUCAAAGGCUGAUGCUGGGGCAUCAAAGACAUUUCCCCAGCAAGCUGGAACCAUCCGCAAAAAUGGUUACAUUGUCAUCAAGAACAGGCCAUGCAAGGUUGUGGAGGUUUCCACUUCCAAAACUGGCAAGCAUGGACACGCAAAGUGUCACUUUGUUGGAAUUGACAUAUUCACUGGGAAAAAGCUUGAGGAUAUUGUCCCAUCUUCCCAUAACUGUGAUGUUCCUCAUGUUAAUCGCAUUGACUACCAGCUCAUCGACAUCUCAGAGGAUGGGUUUGUGAGUCUGCUGACUGAGACUGGUGGUACUAAGGAUGACCUUAGGCUUCCAACCGAUGAAAAUCUGCUUACGCAGAUCAAGGAUGGAUUUGCUGAGGGCAAAGAUCUGGUUGUGUCUGUUAUGUCUUCCAUGGGUGAGGAGCAGAUUUGUGCCCUUAAGGAUAUUGGCCCCAAGUAAUAGAUUUGGAAUUGAGAUUAUAUAUUGUAUUUAUUUUUAUUUUUCACUUUUAUGUGGGUUUGUAUACUAAAUCAGCCAAAGUUUGUGCCAUUCUUACAAGAUGUGGUAACACUUGAAUGGCUUUAUUUGGGAAUCCUUGACCUAUAUUUUAUUGUGUUGUGCAACA
Glycine soja is the source of this 1771-nucleotide RNA transcript. It is a transcript of the gene named mitotic checkpoint protein BUB3.3-like, with no coding region annotated. The transcript has 13 exons. NCBI's taxonomy places the organism in Eukaryota, Viridiplantae, Streptophyta, Magnoliopsida, Fabales, Fabaceae. The record is from RefSeq and is a predicted model, not a curated record.